UACGAUUUUUUUUUCUUUUUUUUUUUCCGAUUUUCUUUGGGUUUUAAGUAAAUGAGCUUAAGUUUGGUAUGUGUUUAGUUUAUUUUUAUAUAAUCUGUUGAAAUUUUGGUUUAUGCAGAUUUAGUAUCUCUUCUCUUUUUUUUGUCAAUUUUUGUGUUUUUUUUCUAGAUAAUAAUUUUAAAUUGUUCUAAUUUUUUCUUCCAGGACAAUGGUUUCGCAUCUCUGUUUUUUUUUUUUUCCAAUCUGGAGACCUUAAGAAAAGCUAGAGCAAGAGGAUAUUGAAGAUGUGAAAUCCAAACUUGAGAAAGAAAGGCAAAACUUUUUCAAGGCACUCUCCAAGAGCUCAAAAGAGUGUGAGAACUUACUGAAGAAUGAAAGUGCCAAGUUCCAAGCAAUCUAUGAGAAGUUCAUCAAGGAGAAAGCUACACAUCUCCUACUCUGAAAAGUACCUUUAUUAAAUGGCUUUUAUUGGAUUGUUGUUUUGAUUUUGGAUAUUGCAAGUCUAAUUUUGAUAACAUUAUUUUCAUGCAGCAUUGAGAAUUUUUCUGAUAUAUUUGUAACUAUGAAGUAAUGCACUUGUGCAAAUUUAAUUGGACUAUAAUAUAAUUGCUUAUGGUUCAUAUCAAAAUUUAUGUAAACUGACUGUUGAGGACAUUUGACAGAUGUUGUGAACAAAUAUGAGGAAGAAAAGGAAAAGUUAUUCACACGAUAUGAGGAACUUGCAUAUUUCUUUUACCAUUUUGAUUGUAAUGAAGAGAACACACACAUAAAGUAGCAAUCAGAUCUGAUAUUUGUUCCUUGGGUGUUACUUUAUGUUUAUGAAGAGAACACACAUAAAGUAUCAUUUUGAUCUGAUAUUUGUUUUUGGGUGUAAUUACCAUUUAUGUAAUGAUAUGAUAUUGGGUGUAAUGAAGAAAAGGAAAAGUUACCAUUU
Ipomoea triloba (trilobed morning glory) is the source of this 934-nucleotide long non-coding RNA. RefSeq lists it as uncharacterized. NCBI's taxonomy places the organism in Eukaryota, Viridiplantae, Streptophyta, Magnoliopsida, Solanales, Convolvulaceae. The record is from RefSeq and is a predicted model, not a curated record. The transcript has 4 exons.